This 208-nucleotide ribosomal RNA is filed under the name Dickeya dadantii. Its description in RNAcentral is "partial 16S ribosomal RNA". It matches the Rfam family "Bacterial small subunit ribosomal RNA", at positions 360 to 580 of the family's 1533-position model. The record is from RNAcentral. Lineage: Bacteria; Pseudomonadati; Pseudomonadota; Gammaproteobacteria; Enterobacterales; Pectobacteriaceae.
AAUAUUGCACAAUGGGCGCAAGCCUGAUGCAGCGACGCCGCGUGAGGGAUGACGGCCUUCGGGUUGUAAACCUCUGUUAGCAGGGAAGAAGAGAGAUUGACGGUACCUGCAGAGAAAGCGCCGGCUAACUACGUGCCAGCAGCCGCGGUAAUACGUAGGGCGCGAGCGUUGUCCGGAAUUAUUGGGCGUAAAGAGCUUGUAGGCGGUU